GACGAACGCUGGCGGCGUGCUUAACACAUGCAAGUCGAACGGAAAGGCCCUGCUUUUGUGGGGUGCUCGAGUGGCGAACGGGGGAGUAACACGUGAGUAACCUGCCCUUGACUUUGGGAUAACUUCAGGAAACUGGGGCUAAUACCGGAUAGGAGCUCCUGCUGCAUGGUGGGGGUUGGAAAGUUUCGGCGGUUGGGGCUGGACUCGCGGCUUAUCAGCUUGUUGGUGGAGUAGUGGCUUACCAAGGCUUUGACGGGUAGCCGGCCUGAGAGGGUGACCGGCCACAUUGGGCCUGAGAUACGCACCAGACUCCUACGGGAGGCAGCAGUGGGGAAUAUUGCACAAUGGGCGGAAGCCUGAUGCAGCAACGCCGCGUGCGGGAUGACGGCCUUCGGGUUGUAAACCGCUUUCGCCUGUGACGAAGCGUGAGUGACGGUAAUGGGUAAAGAAGCACCGGCUAACUACGUG
RNAcentral lists this ribosomal RNA (468 nucleotides) under uncultured bacterium. Its description in RNAcentral is "partial 16S ribosomal RNA". It matches the Rfam family "Bacterial small subunit ribosomal RNA", at positions 28 to 507 of the family's 1533-position model. The record is from RNAcentral.